AUUCCGUGUUUUUCAGCAGCACGAAUUCAAGAGGGAUGCUUCUGUUUGGGUUUCUGAUCGUGAUUUAUAUUUAUUCAGAGGAAUAACAGAGGGUGGAUCUGUUCCCGGCGCGAGCAUGCUCACAACCAGCCGACUCUCCCAUUAUCCAGCUGCCUAGUUUGGUGCUUCAAUGUACAUGGCUAUUCCGUGUGCAUAUGUGUGUAUACAAACACGCAUGCAUGCCUGGAUGGACAUACGUAUGCACAGGUUAUUUUUUAAGGACAAUUCUUUCAAUAAGGUCUUUACCCCUUACUUGAAACAGGUGUUCAUGAAAAAAAUGCACAAAAUCCUGCCUGGCCGGAAUAAUUCAUGAAGAAGGGGCUGGAUCCGUGGGUCAGAGAACACAGGACCAGUUUGCCAUCCCAAGGCCGAAGUCUGGUGUCUCGGAUUUGUUCCUGUGUUGCCCACUCCUGCUGGAUCUUGUCCAGUCGAGGGACAAACGUCCUGAAGAAUGGGAAGAAAGGAGGUUCUGAAGGCACAGAUUCCAAUACCAUGCCAGAGGUUGAGGACACUGGUGCUUGAAGGGAAACUGGCACACUCUGGAGCCCCAAGAAGAGCUGGAGCUGGAGGCAUGCGGCCCACGAAGGGUAGAAGUACCAGCCAUGACCAAGAGCCCUUCACAUCAUCUGGCAAUCCAUCCAGAACCCACUGAAUGGAGGACAGCACAGCGAGGUCUUUCUCAUUUUGUAACUGCAAAAGCUGGAACAAGAGCCAGAGAAGCCAAAGAAGCAGUACAAGUCCAACAGCUUUUAGAAUAACCCUGAGAAAAUGGUUGAAUUUUGACCAGUUUUGCAAUUGGAUACUAUGAGAAGAGACCUUCCCUCCUGCACUGGAUUUCAUCAUCAUACCUGGAGGCCAUUCCUCAUGGGACUUUGGCCAUCUCAUAUCCACCUUUAAGCAUGUUAUUCCCAUUUCAGCUGUGGUAGCUCUGGGUAUCCUUCCCUAGGAGAAAAUAUUAAUCUUUUCUCCCUCUGAGUUCUGGAUUAAACUGUCUUAUCUGAAACUGGGUCACUUUAGGCUAGAAGCACCACUAGACAUUCCUGUUCUCAGAAGUUGCCAAGUUCAUGUCAUAUCUGUUUCAUUGUUAACGGGAUCCACUUCUGCAAGAGGCUGCCUGGCCAGAUCAGUGUGUCUCCUGGUCAGCUCCUUGAUGCCCUUCUCCUCUCCCCUGCCCAAUCCCAGCUGAGACUUGCACUGUGGUGACUCUGUCCCCUCCUGGUGCUUUGACUGGAUGUGUGAGAGAAAGUAUGGUCUGUGGCACUGACAUCUUUGUGUGUUUGGAGGUGACUGGAACACGGAUCCACCCCUGGAGGAAGGUGGCCGUGAAGGAGGCCAGCCUCAGCUCAGCGUUCUACUCUCAUCGCUCUUACUCCCGCCUUUUUAGUGCCUGCCCUACUCCAGGAUAAUUGUGCUUUUCUUUUUUCAGUUAAAUGUUAGCAUUGCUAUUUUUCAUUAUUGCAAAGCAGCACAUGCUUGUUACAAAAACUUUGGAAGUGUAGACAAAUAAAAAGAAGAAAAAGCUACUUCCAAAUCCUACUUACCCCAAAGACAAGAUGAUCAUUUAGUCAUAUAGUAUCAUACAUAUAUAAUAUGUACACAUAUAUUUUAAUGUAAGUGUAGUGUCACAAUAUCAUGUAUAGUCUUUCAUAAAACACGUUGGCACUUAAUAUCUUAUAUGAACAACUUUCUAGAGCAACAAGCUUAGUUUACAGCAAUUGUAAUGUAAGAGUACUCAUUUACAUAGCUACAGCAUCCUUUGUUUACCUCAUCUCUUAUGGUUUGAUGUUUAGGUUGUUUCCAACUUUUCUCCACCUAAACAGCAUUAAUAAAUGUGGUUUUAGUUUCCUCUU
This 1889-nucleotide long non-coding RNA is filed under the name Homo sapiens (human). Its description in RNAcentral is "non-protein coding lnc-HIVEP3-1:2". The record is from RNAcentral. Lineage: Eukaryota; Metazoa; Chordata; Mammalia; Primates; Hominidae.